This 467-nucleotide ribosomal RNA is filed under the name uncultured bacterium. Its description in RNAcentral is "partial 16S ribosomal RNA". It matches the Rfam family "Bacterial small subunit ribosomal RNA", at positions 29 to 507 of the family's 1533-position model. The record is from RNAcentral.
ACGAACGCUGGCGGCGUGCUUAACACAUGCAAGUCGAACGGAAAGGCCCUGCUUUUGUGGGGUGCUCGAGUGGCGAACGGGUGAGUAACACGUGAGUAACCUGCCCUUGACUUUGGGAUAACUUCAGGAAACUGGGGCUAAUACCGGAUAGGAGCUCCUGCUGCAUGGUGGGGGGUGGAAAGUUUCGGCGGUUGGGGAUGGACUCGCGGCUUAUCAGCUUGUUGGUGGGGUAGUGGCUUACCAAGGCUUUGACGGGUAGCCGGCCUGAGAGGGUGACCGGCCACAUUGGGACUGAGAUACGGCCCAGACUCCUACGGGAGGCAGCAGUGGGGAAUAUUGCACAAUGGGCGGAAGCCCGAUGCAGCAACGCCGCGUGCGGGAUGACGGCCUUCGGGUUGUAAACCGCUUUCGCCUGUGACGAAGCGUGAGUGACGGUAAUGGGUAAAGAAGCACCGGCUAACUACGUG